This 451-nucleotide ribosomal RNA is filed under the name uncultured bacterium. RNAcentral describes it as "partial 16S ribosomal RNA". It matches the Rfam family "Bacterial small subunit ribosomal RNA", at positions 28 to 507 of the family's 1533-position model. The record is from RNAcentral.
GAUGAACGCUGGCGGCGUGCCUAACACAUGCAAGUCGAGCGGCAGCGCGGGGUGCUUGCACCCUGUCGGCGAGCGGCGGACGGCUGAGUAACGCGUGGGAACGUGCCCCAAAGUGAGGAAUAACUGCCCGAAAGGGUAGCUAAUACCGCAUAUUAUCUUCGGAUCAAAGGAUUUAUCCGCUUUGGGAGCGGCUCGCGUCGGAUUAGGUAGUUGGUGAGGUAAUGGCUCACCAAGCCGACGAUCCGUAGCUGGUCUGAGAGGAUGACCAGUCAGACUGGAACUGAGACACGGUCCAGACUCCUACGGGAGGCAGCAGUGAGGAAUCUUCCACAAUGGGCGAAAGCCUGAUGGAGCAACGCCGCGUGCAGGACGAAGGCCUUCGGGUUGUAAACUGCUUUUAUAAGUGAGGAAUAUGACGGUAACUUAUGAAUAAGGAUCGGCUAACUACGUG